CAACCCUCCGACAGCCAGACAACCGCUCUUACCUCCUGAGCUAUGUCGCCCUAUGUCGCCCAUGGACAUGUACAUUAUAUCCUUCAGAUUGCUAAAACCAAUGUACUUUCAUGAAUUAUCUGCCUGCACCAACUGCUCUAGCAAAUGUUACCGUACAAGCAGCUGAGCAAAGUGAUGGAAGCCAAAACAAUUAAUUCAGUUAUUACAUUUCCUUUCCAGUUGUGUGUACUAUAAUGAAGCGACAACUUCAACUGGAUCACGACUGUUUGGCAAAAUAAGGGGAAAGUGCAAAAAAUAAGCAACACUAUCUCUGGGCACACAAGUGAAGUGGUCAGUCAUAAAUAAUUUUAUGUACACUGAAAUGAUCGGCAUAGGCCUCAGGCAACUAUUAAUCAAGGAAAAGUCCAUAUUAAAUAGCUUACAUCCCACUCUGACAGAUUCUUUACGUCAAAAAAAAAAGCUAAUAUUAAAAAAUUAUGCUUCCGACUGAGGGCGCUAUUUAUCAAGAAAAGAUAUUUGCAGUGCAAUGUUUUGAACCACUUUCAGACAUUCACCUUGCUAAAAGAACUUACGAAAGUAAUAUACGUGCUUAAAUGUUCCAUUCAGCUCGCAGCAAACAGAAUUUUUUUAUUUGACUGCUCAGGUAUGUGCAAAGUCCAAUGAACAACUUUCAAAAACUGAUGGGACAGGACUCCUUGUGACAUCACUUCCUCUAUCUGUUGACACAAUAGAGGUGUGAAAGGUAUGAAACAUGCACUGGAGAGAGAAAGAGAGAGAGAGAGAGAACCAGAGAAAGGUACAUGAACAAGAGACAAAAAAGAAAGAAAACAAAGAGUUAACAACAGAUAAGUAUUCAUAUAGCCACAACAUUCUUGAUCCCAUUGACUUGAUACCAGUGGACUGUUUAUGUUCAUUUGAUUGUUAAUAGAUCACUUGAGCUGCACCCUAAAUUGGUGCCUGUAGUUAUAAUGUGUGUUCAGCAGGAUAUCUAACAAGGGCAGAGUCGAGAGAGGGAAGAGAUAAGAAGAGCAGUCAGGUGGCCCACGUACAACACUGUCCUUCAUCCUGGACAAAAUGGAGUUGCUUCAUGUGCUGCUUGCGACUGUGCUCUUCGGUACAAGGUCCACCAGUGGAGUCUCAGUACUGCAGAAACGGCCAGAGAAUAGCCGAGAGAGGGAAUAGACUAGAGGAAGCUAUCAGGCUGUCCACACCACGUCCCUCCACCCUGGAUAGCAUGGAGCUGCUUUAUGUAUUUGUGGCUUUGCUCUUCAGUACCAAGUCCUCCGAUGGAGUCACAGUACUGCAGAAACGGCCAGAGAUACUCACGAGGACCGAGAAUGAGUCUGAGACCCUGCACUGUGAACACAACGAUGCUAACCACUACUAUAUGUUCUGGUACAGGCAGGACAGAGGCAGAGGAAUGCAUUUGAUGGCAUAUUCUCCUGGCCAAGGCAAUGUGAACAUAGAGCCGCCCUUCAACGCAUCCAAAUACGCGAUGGAGCGUCCUGAAGUGAAGAAGUCGUCUCUGCAGAUAAAGGAUUUGGCGAAUAGCCGAGAGAGGGAAUAGACUAGAGGAAGCUAUCAGGCUGUCCACACCACCUCCCUCCACCCUGGAUAACAUGGAGCUGCUUUAUGUAUUUGUGGCUUUGCUCUUCAGUACCAGUAAGAGUUCUCUAACAAAUAACUGCUUUAUUACAAAAACAAAUAGCAGAUCAUGUGGAGCUGAAGACUUCUGUGAUUAAAUUCCUUCCUG
Anguilla anguilla (European eel) is the source of this 1753-nucleotide non-coding RNA. The record is from the annotation of a RefSeq genome assembly. Lineage: Eukaryota; Metazoa; Chordata; Actinopteri; Anguilliformes; Anguillidae.